UACGGAGUCGUCCAAUGGUAGGACAGUAGACUUUGGAUCUACUAAUCAUGGUUCGAAUCCAUGCUCCGUAG
Molecule: transfer RNA, 71 nt
Filed under: Candidatus Gottesmanbacteria bacterium
Lineage: Bacteria; Candidatus Gottesmaniibacteriota
Description: tRNA-Gln
Rfam family: tRNA
About the family: Transfer RNA (tRNA) molecules are approximately 80 nucleotides in length. Their secondary structure includes four short double-helical elements and three loops (D, anti-codon, and T loops).
Source: RNAcentral